UACGUAGGCAGCAAGCGUUGUUCGGAGUUACUGGGCGUAAAGGGUGUGUAGGUGGCGCGCUAAGUCGGGUGUGAAAUUUCGGAGCUUAACUCCGAAACUGCAUUCGAUACUGGCGUGCUUGAGGACUGGAGAGGAGACUGGAAUUCAUGGUGUAGCAGUGAAAUGCGUAGAGAUCAUGAGGAAGACCAGUGGCGAAGGCGGGUCUCUGGACAGUUCCUGACACUGAGACACGAAGGCCAGGGGAGCAAACGGG
Molecule: ribosomal RNA, 253 nt
Filed under: uncultured bacterium
Lineage: Bacteria
Description: partial 16S ribosomal RNA
Rfam family: Bacterial small subunit ribosomal RNA
Source: RNAcentral